AUGAACGCUGGCGGCGUGCCUAAUACAUGCCAGUCGAGCGAACAGAUCAGGAGCUUGCUCCUUUGACGUUAGCGGCGGACGGGUGAGUAACACGUGGAUAACCUACCUAUAAGACUGGGAUAACUUCGGGAAACCGGAGCUAAUACCGGAUAACAUAUUGAACCGCAUGGUUCAAUAGUGAAAGGCGGCUUUGCUGUCACUUAUAGAUGGAUCCGCGCCGUAUUAGCUAGUUGGUAAGGUAACGGCUUACCAAGGCAACGAUACGUAGCCGACCUGAGAGGGUGAUCGGCCACACUGGAACUGAGACACGGUCCAGACUCCUACGGGAGGCAGCAGUAGGGAAUCUUCCGCAAUGGGCGAAAGCCUGACGGAGCAACGCCGCGUGAGUGAUGAAGGUCUUCGGAUCGUAAAACUCUGUUAUCAGGGAAGAACAAAUGUGUAAGUAACUGUGCACAUCUUGACGGUACCUGAUCAGAAAGCCACGGCUAACUACGUG
This 496-nucleotide ribosomal RNA is filed under the name uncultured bacterium. RNAcentral describes it as "partial 16S ribosomal RNA". It matches the Rfam family "Bacterial small subunit ribosomal RNA", at positions 29 to 507 of the family's 1533-position model. The record is from RNAcentral.